AGGACGAACGCUGGCGGCGUGCUUAACACAUGCAAGUCGAACGGUGAUCUCGAGAGCUUGCUCUCGAGUGAGCAGUGGCGAACGGGUGAGUAACACGUGAGUAACCUGCCCCAGACUCUGGAAUAAGCGCUGGAAACGGCGUCUAAUACCGGAUAUGAGACGAAGUCGCAUGACUAUCGUCUGGAAAGUUUUUUCGGUCUGGGAUGGACUCGCGGCCUAUCAGCUUGUUGGUGAGGUAACGGCUCACCAAGGCAAUG
This 257-nucleotide ribosomal RNA is filed under the name uncultured soil bacterium. RNAcentral's name for it is "partial 16S ribosomal RNA". It matches the Rfam family "Bacterial small subunit ribosomal RNA", at positions 26 to 278 of the family's 1533-position model. The record is from RNAcentral.